This 737-nucleotide long non-coding RNA is filed under the name Marmota monax (woodchuck). Lineage: Eukaryota; Metazoa; Chordata; Mammalia; Rodentia; Sciuridae. The record is from RNAcentral.
CGACAGAUACCUCGUGGCUGCCUCCCAUCAAGAUAAUAGCGCAGAGCACCUCUCUGUUUAAAUACUGUACUUUAUUCUCUUGAUGGUGCUUAUCCACGAGAGUCCUUUAUUUGUUUGCGAGUAUAAACUCCAAGAAGACAAGGUCUACAUCUUGUUAUCUGCCAUGGGUAUGGGGUUGAGAGAAGGACUUGGCGCAAAGCAGAAUUGCAAUGCAUCUUUACGGAGUGAAUGAAUGAAAGAAAUGCGUAAAUGAAAGAAAACCGACUGUUUCCAUUCCCACUUUCAGGGGUGCUUCCCUGGUCCUCCUCUGGAAUUUGGGUCUCUCACUGCAGCUGUGAAGGCCUCCAUGCAUGUCUGUGCUCACAGCUCUGUAUGGAGGGAAGAAACAUGGAAUGAUCACAUGAGUUGCCCCUCUGUCCUUCCUGCUGGCAGAGGCCUGGCUAGACAGUCUUUGGCAGCAGAAGGCUCUUCAGGUUGUCUGAACUAUCUGCCUGCCUGUGACACAUACAUGCUAUUUAGUUCCGGAUCAGGUGUUGGGAGGCCUCAGUUGGUUUCUCAGAGCUCAGCUCUGCCUGAGAAAGGAAUGGGAAGGGCUUCGAUGGAUGGCAGGGACCGCACAUCCCGCUUCACCUCCCUUGCCCACUUCCGCUCUGCCGGAGGCAGCCCAGCCAAGGACAGUGCACAGGGUCAAGUUUCUCCUUGCAGAUUGCUCUGCGGUGACUGGAGGGGAGUCUGAG